GAUGAACGCUGGCGGCGUGCCUAACACUUGCAAGUCGAACGGAGUCCAGCCUUUAAGACCUUCGGGUCAAAGAGGGGAAGACUGAGUGGCGGACGGGUGAGUAACACGUGGGCAACCUGGCUCAUAGAGGGGGAUAACAGAGAGAAAUUUCUGCUAAUACCGCAUAAGCACACACUGCCGCAUGGCAGAGGGUGAAAAGAGAAUCGCUAUGAGAUGGACCCGCGUCUGAUUAGCCAGUUGGCAGGGUAAGAGCCUACCAAAGCGACGAUCAGUAGCCGAUCUGAGAGGAUGAACGGCCACAUUGGGACUGAGACACGGCCCAAACUCCUACGGGAGGCAGCAGUGGGGGAUAUUGCACAAUGGGGGGAACCCUGAUGCAGCGACGCCGCGUGAGUGAAGAAGUAUUUCGGUAUGUAAAGCUCUAUCAGCAGGGAAGAUAAUGAUAGUACCUGAAUAAGAAGCCCCGGCUAACUACGUG
Molecule: ribosomal RNA, 478 nt
Filed under: uncultured bacterium
Lineage: Bacteria
Description: partial 16S ribosomal RNA
Rfam family: Bacterial small subunit ribosomal RNA
Source: RNAcentral